CUUGGUAUAGCUCAAGGGUAGAGCAGUUGGCUCUCCAUCCGGCUGGACACAGGUUCGAGCCCUGUUGCCAGAACCU
Molecule: transfer RNA, 76 nt
Filed under: Serratia fonticola
Lineage: Bacteria; Pseudomonadati; Pseudomonadota; Gammaproteobacteria; Enterobacterales; Yersiniaceae
Description: tRNA-OTHER
Rfam family: tRNA
About the family: Transfer RNA (tRNA) molecules are approximately 80 nucleotides in length. Their secondary structure includes four short double-helical elements and three loops (D, anti-codon, and T loops).
Source: RNAcentral